This 238-nucleotide long non-coding RNA is filed under the name Elaeis guineensis (African oil palm). RNAcentral describes it as "long non-coding RNA (EGUI_LNC017387)". The record is from RNAcentral. Lineage: Eukaryota; Viridiplantae; Streptophyta; Magnoliopsida; Arecales; Arecaceae.
GCCAAAAAAGACAAUAAUCAUUUAUAAUUUGAAGAGGAUGAAAAUUUGAUUAAAAAUUUUUUGGAGGAAAGCAUCAGCUCAUAAGUCUUUUAUGUUUUUUUUUGUUAUAUAUGAUAACCACUCUUUGAAGAUGUUGUUUUAUGAUAUCCUUUACACUUUUCCAUUGUAGAGAGGUCAUGUACAUCAAUGAAUAUGGAGGCAGUAUCACAAGGUCAUAUGUUCACGAUCUUCUUGUUGA